AAACUUUGAAAAUUGAAACCACUUUCCAGUCUCAGACUCUCGGUUCCUCUCCCUCACUCUGCCGCCUCAACCACUCUCCCUCACUCCCUCGCCCAACCGUCGCACGCCGCCCCAACCGCCGCACGCCGCCUUACCAGUUCGCCGUCUGCCGCCUCACCAGUUCGGCCGCCAACCGCCGGCGAAGGCGGGGACAGCAGUAGACGCCGCCUUACCAGUUCGCCGCGUCGCCGCCCCUCUUUCCCUUCUCAGGCCGCUUGCAUCCGGUCUCCAUCUCCAUCUCAGGCCGCCUGCGUCCGGUUGCUGCCAGACUCCACCGCCGCCAAUCUCCAUCUUAGGCUAGUUUCUGAUUUUGUCAAAAGUUGAUUUAAUUCUCUGAUUUUGUCUAAUUUUUUACUUCUUCUCUUUUGCAAUUCUCAAAAUUUAUUUGGGUGUUAUCUUGUUGUUAUCCUGAUUGAGAGAAAUAGUUGAUUACCUAUCUGAAUUUUGGUAGAUUAGCUCGAUUGUGUGGUUAAUAUUGAUAUAUUUUGCUCAUGCUAUGAAGACAAUUGAAAUAUUUUUCAUUAUGAAAAUUAAAUGUUGCUAAUUUUGUGAUUUAUUUUUGAAUUUAAUUUAAAAACACUAGAUCCAUGGAUCUGGACUCGCGGAUCCGUGGAUCUGACGGAUCUGGAUCUGGAUCCAAAAUUUUCAGAUCCGCGGAUCUGGAUCCGGAUCUGGAUCUGGUAUAUGAAAACGGAUCUGGAUCUGGUAUUGACCAGAUCCGGUCCAGAUCCGGCCCGUUG
RNAcentral lists this long non-coding RNA (779 nucleotides) under Salvia miltiorrhiza (redroot sage). Its description in RNAcentral is "long non-coding RNA (SMIL_LNC004094)". The record is from RNAcentral. Lineage: Eukaryota; Viridiplantae; Streptophyta; Magnoliopsida; Lamiales; Lamiaceae.